RNAcentral lists this ribosomal RNA (468 nucleotides) under uncultured bacterium. RNAcentral's name for it is "partial 16S ribosomal RNA". It matches the Rfam family "Bacterial small subunit ribosomal RNA", at positions 28 to 507 of the family's 1533-position model. The record is from RNAcentral.
GACGAACGCUGGCGGCGUGCUUAACACAUGCAAGUCGAACGGAAAGGCCCUGCUUUUGUGGGGUGCUCGAGUGGCGAACGGGUGAGUAACACGUGAGUAACCUGCCCUUGACUUUGGGAUAACUUCAGGAAACUGGGGCUAAUACCGGAUAGGAGCUCCUGCUGCAUGGUGGGGGUUGGAAAGUUUCGGCGGUUGGGGAUGGACUCGCGGCUUAUCCGCUUGUUGGUGGGGUAGUGGCUUACCAAGGCUUUGACGGGUAGCCGGCCUGAGAGGGUGACCGGCCACGUUGGGACUGAGAUACGGCCCAGACUCCAACGGGAGGCAGCAGAGGGGAAGGUUGCACAAUGGGCGGAAGCAUGAUGCAGCAACGCCGCGUGCGGGAUGACGGGCUGCGGGUUGUAAACCGCUUUCGCCUGAGACGAAGCGUGAGUGACGGUAACGGGUAAAGAAGCACCGGCUAACUACGUG